This 496-nucleotide ribosomal RNA is filed under the name uncultured bacterium. Its description in RNAcentral is "partial 16S ribosomal RNA". It matches the Rfam family "Bacterial small subunit ribosomal RNA", at positions 28 to 506 of the family's 1533-position model. The record is from RNAcentral.
GAUGAACGCUGGCGGCGUGCCUAAUACAUGCAAGUCGAGCGAACAGACGAGGAGCUUGCUCCUCUGACGUUAGCGGCGGACGGGUGAGUAACACGUGGAUAACCUACCUAUAAGACUGGGAUAACUUCGGGAAACCGGAGCUAAUACCGGAUAAUAUAUUGAACCGCAUGGUUCAAUAGUGAAAGACGGUUUUGCUGUCACUUAUAGAUGGAUCCGCGCCGCAUUAGCUAGUUGGUAAGGUAACGGCUUACCAAGGCAACGAUGCGUAGCCGACCUGAGAGGGUGAUCGGCCACACUGGAACUGAGACACGGUCCAGACUCCGACGGGAGGCAGCAGUAGGGAAUCUUCCGCAAUGGGCGAAGGCCUGACGGAGCAACGCCGCGUGAGUGAUGAAGGUCUUCGGAUCGUAAAACUCUGUUAUUAGGGAAGAACAAAUGUGUAAGUAACUAUGCACGUCUUGACGGUACCGAAUCAGAAAGCCACGGCUAACUACGU